GCCUUUCCCGGGACCGGGAGGCGGGGACUGGGAGAGGCGUUCGGACGCUAUUACCGGGUUGGGCGGGUCGGGCCGGGGAGGGGUUUGGGGGUGAGCCCUGGGUCCCCCGCCCGCUGAGGAGAUGGAUGAGGAUGGGCUCCCUCUCAUGGGCUCAGGCAUAGACCUGACUAAGGUGCCAGCUAUUCAACAGAAAAGAACGGUGGCAUUUCUAAACCAGUUUGUGGUGCACACUGUACAGUUCCUCAACCGCUUUUCUACAGUUUGUGAGGAGAAACUAGCAGACCUUUCUCUUCGUAUCCAGCAGAUUGAAACAACUCUCAAUAUUUUAGAUGCAAAGUUAUCAUCUAUCCCGGGCCUAGAUGAUGUCACAUUUGAAGUAUCUCCUGUAAAUGUCACUAGGAUCACAAAUGGAACACACUCUGAAGCCACUUCAGAGCAAUCACAGCAGAACAGUUUACAAGACUCUGGACCACAGGAAAGUGAAGUAACACCAGAAAAUAUCUUAACUGUAGCCAAGGAUCCAAGAUAUGCCAGAUAUCUCAAAAUGGUUCAAGUGGGUGUUCCAGUGAUGGCAAUAAGAAACAAAAUGAUAUCGGAAGGACUAGACCCAGAUCUUCUUGAGAGACCAGACGCUCCAGUGCCUAAUGGUGAAGGUGAAAAAAACACAGAAGAAAGUUCAGAUAAUGAAUCUUCUUUUAGUGAGAUUCCCAGGGAUUGAGAUACAGGCCAGGGAUUACCACCACCCUGCUUAUCCUGUCAACGAGGUCAGAAUCCUACAUUUCCAAUCUACAAAAUCCAAGUUAAUAUUCAACUUCCGUCCUUGUUCUUGUUCCAUGGAGGGGAGCUGCCUGCUAAUCUGAAAACACCUUUGUUUCUGAUGGGCAGUUUCCCAUUCAUGCUUUUCACAGCAGAGCUAUCAAGAAUUGACUCUCACACCUCAGCAUGUCCCAAGACAAAUUCAUCACCAUCUUUUUAAGCCUGUUCUUUUGGACUUUUCUAGUUCAUUCUGGAAAGUUCAUCACUUGGAGUUAUACCCAACACGUCCUUCUCCAUCGCUCCUGACAAAAAUAAGUUGCCACGUCCUCUUAUUCUACUUCUGCAGUAUCUCUGACAAUCACCCCUUCUCUGCUGUUCUCACUGCCUACAUCCUAGUUCAGACCCAUAUUGUCUCCCACUUGUGUCCCUGGAAUUACCUCAGCCCUAUUUCCCUUUAACUCCUAAAUUCCAACAUUCACCAAGAUUUCUAAAGCCCAGCUCAAAGCAUGUCACCUCCCAGCUCAAAAACCCUCAGUUACUCCCCAUCACUUAAUAAACAAAAUCCAGACUCUAGCCUGACAGCCAAAGCCCACCCAUGAUGUGACCCCAAUAUAAUGUUAUAAUGUGAUCUCCCUACUCCCCUCCAUGUACUACAGUCAAAAUGUACUAGUUGUCCCCCUGAUACGCCCUGCCCAUCUUAGCAUCUGGCCUUUGUCUGUGGUGUUUUUGUCUCUUUAACUUCUUGCUAAAUGAAAUAUGACCCCAUCCUUCAAGUCCCAGUCACAACCACUGCCUCUUCCAUGAAGACUUUCUGCAUUUUCCAGCAGGAAAUAAUCUUUUAGUCCUUGUAUAUACAUUUUUGUAUUUUUGUUCUAAUCCUUACUACAGCUUAUAUUGCAAGCUUCUUUGUGUAUGUAUGUGUGUCAAUAUCUUGUAUCUGCUCAGAUAAUAAAGUUCAUUUCAUUGAUGAA
This is a non-coding RNA of Odocoileus virginianus texanus, 1727 nucleotides long. The record is from RefSeq and is a predicted model, not a curated record. NCBI's taxonomy places the organism in Eukaryota, Metazoa, Chordata, Mammalia, Artiodactyla, Cervidae.